ACGAUUAAAGCUCUCUUCGGAGAGUGUAUAGAGUGGCGCACGGGUGAGUAACACGUAAGUAAUCUACCCUCGAGUGGGGAAUAACGUUCGGAAACGAACGCUAAUACCGCAUAAUGCGGCGGCACCGCAAGGUGACAGUUGUUAAAGGAGCAAUUCGCUUGAGGAGGAGCUUGCGGCAGAUUAGCUUGUUGGUAAGGUAACGGCUUACCAAGGCUACGAUCUGUAUCCGGCCUGAGAGGGCGGUCGGACACACUGACACUGAAUAACGGGUCAGACUCCUACGGGAGGCAGCAGUCGGGAAUUUUGGGCAAUGGGGGAAACCCUGACCCAGCAACGCCGCGUGAAGGAUGAAGUAUUUCGGUAUGUAAACUUCGAAAGAAUGGGAAGAAUAAAUGACGGUACCAUUUAUAAGCUCCGGCUAACUACGUGCCAGCAGCCGCGGUAAUACGUAGGGAGCAAGCGUUGUUCGGAUUUACUGGGCGUAAAGGGCGCGUAGGCGGCGCGGUAAGUCACUUGUGAAAUCUCUGAGCUUAACUCAGAACGGCCAAGUGAUACUGCAGAGCUAGAGUGCAGAAGAGGCAAUCGGAAUUCUUGGUGUAGCGGUGAAAUGCGUAGAUACCAAGAGGAACACCUGAGGUGAAGACGGGUUGCUGGGCUGACACUGACGCUGAGGCGCGAAAGCCAGGGGAGCAGACGGAUUAGAUACCCCGGUAGUCCUGGCCCUAAACGAUGAUACUUGGUGUCUGGAGUCUUUAAUGCUCCGGGUGCGUCGCUAACGUUUUAGCAUUCGCCUGGGGAGU
This 800-nucleotide ribosomal RNA is filed under the name uncultured bacterium. RNAcentral's name for it is "bacterial SSU rRNA". It matches the Rfam family "Bacterial small subunit ribosomal RNA", at positions 66 to 881 of the family's 1533-position model. The record is from RNAcentral.